Molecule: ribosomal RNA, 253 nt
Filed under: uncultured bacterium
Lineage: Bacteria
Description: partial 16S ribosomal RNA
Rfam family: Bacterial small subunit ribosomal RNA
Source: RNAcentral
UACGAAGGGGGCUAGCGUUGCUCGGAAUCACUGGGCGUAAAGGGUGCGUAGGCGGGUCUUUAAGUCAGGGGUGAAAUCCUGGAGCUCAACUCCAGAACUGCCUUUGAUACUGAGGGUCUUGAGUAUGACAGAGGUGAGUGGAACUGCGAGUGUAGAGGUGAAAUUCGUAGAUAUUCGCAAGAACACCAGUGGCGAAGGCGGCUCACUGGGUCAUUACUGACGCUGAGGCACGAAAGCGUGGGGAGCAAACAGG